RNAcentral lists this ribosomal RNA (459 nucleotides) under uncultured bacterium. Its description in RNAcentral is "partial 16S ribosomal RNA". It matches the Rfam family "Bacterial small subunit ribosomal RNA", at positions 338 to 795 of the family's 1533-position model. The record is from RNAcentral.
CCUACGGGUGGCAGCAGUGAGGAAUAUUGGUCAAUGGUCGGGAGACUGAACCAGCCAAGCCGCGUGAGGGAUGAAGGUACAGAGUAUCGUAAACCUCUUUUGUCAGGGAACAAAGGCGGGGACGUGUCCCCGGAUGAGUGUACCUGAAGAAAAAGCAUCGGCUAACUCCGUGCCAGCAGCCGCGGUAAUACGGAGGAUGCGAGCGUUAUCCGGAUUUAUUGGGUUUAAAGGGUGCGCAGGCGGUCUGUUAAGUCAGCGGGCAAAGCCCGGGGCUCAACCCCGGCCCGCCGUUGAAACUGGCAGUCUAGAGUUGGAGAGAAGUAUGCGGAAUGCGCGGUGUAGCGGUGAAAUGCAGAGAUAUCGCGCAGAACUCCGAUUGCGAAGGCAGCAUGCCGGCUCCACACUGACGCUGAGGCACGAAAGCGUGGGUAUCGAACAGGAUUAGAUACCCUGGUAGUC